This 259-nucleotide long non-coding RNA is filed under the name Mytilus galloprovincialis (Mediterranean mussel). The record is from RNAcentral. Lineage: Eukaryota; Metazoa; Mollusca; Bivalvia; Mytilida; Mytilidae.
GUCGUUGGAUUUUUCAAUUGUUUUGAUAACGGAUUCAAUUGUUAUUUCAUUGUCCGCCAUUUUGUUUAUGUGCGAUACACGCUUUGCACAGUUGAAUAUUACUAGAUAUGCAGGAUUAUCAAUAAAAAGUUCAAGCGAUGCACUUACAUUGAAUUAGUUCAUAUAAUUACUAAUACUUUAACUAAUUUUCAUGAUGUUAUGCUGUCGGGAAACGUGGAAGUAGGCAGCAUUUUUCCCUGCUAAAAUUUCAUCGCCGCUU